Molecule: transfer RNA, 74 nt
Filed under: Pleodorina starrii
Lineage: Eukaryota; Viridiplantae; Chlorophyta; Chlorophyceae; Chlamydomonadales; Volvocaceae
Description: tRNA-Ile
Source: RNAcentral
GGCCUUCUAGCUCAGUUGGUUAGAGCGUGGUGCUAAUAACGCCAAGGUCAUCUGUUCGAUCCUGAUGAGGGCCA